This 395-nucleotide ribosomal RNA is filed under the name uncultured bacterium. RNAcentral describes it as "partial 16S ribosomal RNA". It matches the Rfam family "Bacterial small subunit ribosomal RNA", at positions 360 to 773 of the family's 1533-position model. The record is from RNAcentral.
AAUAUUGCACAAUGGGGGAAACCCUGAUGCAGCGACGCCGCGUGAGCGAAGAAGGCCUNCGGGUCNUNAAGCUCUGUCCUAAGGGNAGAAACGGACGGUACCUUAGGAGGAAGCCCCGGCUAACUACGGGCCAGCAGCCGCGGUAAUACGUUGGGGGCGAGCGUUAUCCGGAAUUACGGGGCGUAAAGGGUGAGUAGGGGGCCUUUUAAGUCAGAUGUGAAAGGCUACGGCUUAACCGUAGUUAGCAUUUUAAACUAGAAGGCUUGAGUGCAGGAGAGGAGAGUGGAAUUCCUAGUGUAGCGGUGAAAUGCGUAGAUAUUAGGAGGAACACCAGUGGCGAAGGCGACUCUCUGGACUGCAACUGACGUUGAGGAACGAAAGCGUGGGGAGCAAAC